UCAAACAGCUCUUGAAGAGCCAGAAAAA
RNAcentral lists this non-coding RNA (28 nucleotides) under Rattus norvegicus (Norway rat). Lineage: Eukaryota; Metazoa; Chordata; Mammalia; Rodentia; Muridae. The record is from RNAcentral.